GGGCCCCCGACGCAAGAUGGCUGUGUCGCGUCGGCCUCUAAACAAUGUGUGGAGCGCGCAGCUCCUGCACCAGGGCCUGGUGGCUUGUCCUGCCCGCCCGUGGGGGCCGUGUGAUCUGUUUUCGGAAACCGAAAUAUUUAUUGUUGGAUUUAUCCAGGAAGGCUGUUCUGCAUUAGUUAAAUGCAUCAUAUCUUCAAGAAAUGUUAAAUGACAUGGAUGCUUCCAGCCCUGAAGCAUCAGACUCCAGGUUCUUUGGCUUUUGGACUCUUGGAGUUACACCAGUGGUUUCCCAGGAACUCUCCAGCCUUGGGCCACAGACUGAAGUUUGCACUGUCGGCUUCCCUGCUUUUGAGGUUUUGUGACUCAGACUGAGCCAACUGGCUUCCUUGCUC
This 392-nucleotide long non-coding RNA is filed under the name Homo sapiens (human). Its description in RNAcentral is "non-protein coding lnc-SDE2-1:13". Lineage: Eukaryota; Metazoa; Chordata; Mammalia; Primates; Hominidae. The record is from RNAcentral.